Asparagus officinalis (garden asparagus) is the source of this 981-nucleotide long non-coding RNA. RefSeq lists it as uncharacterized. Lineage: Eukaryota; Viridiplantae; Streptophyta; Magnoliopsida; Asparagales; Asparagaceae. The transcript has 3 exons. The record is from RefSeq and is a predicted model, not a curated record.
AAAGCCCCAAAGACAUGAUUUUAUAUGUUUCAACCCCUAGUUACAUUUCCAAUGCAUAUUUUUUUACAAAACAAAAUUACCCUUAAAUCAUUCCCCAAAAACUGUCUGCUCUCUCCUCUCCUCCUCUUCUCACGCUCAACCAAUCCCCUCCUCGCUCCUCCCCGCCGCCACGUCAUCAAUCACCGUCGGCCAACGGCAACCUCUCCACCGCAACACUCGCGAACGUCGCGGCGAUGGCGCCGGUGCCGGUGAGCGUCGCCAAGCAAGCGGAGCUCCUGAAGGCUGACGACAACACGUAUUUCAAGAAGGAGCGAUUGGGUGUUGCGAUUGAUGCCUACACCGAGGGUUAAAAGUAUAUGAAUUUGUGUUGGGCAUUUUGGCGAACGGUUGGUGGGUUUUGCUUGGAUUGGACCGUUUAGGACUUGGGUCAACUUGAUUCUUCUUUUGGUCAGAUGGGUUUCUUUCCUCUUAUUUAUUUUGAUUGGAUGUUUCAAAAUUCUUUUGUGUUGUUUGUGGGUUUGUAUUUAAUCUUACCCCCUCAUUUCCAUUUCAAAUAGGGAUUAUGCUUAUGUUCUUGAUUAGGUCAUGGAAUCUGCACACAAGUCGCUUGGAUUGGAAAAUGUUAUGCUUUUCUAAUUUACUUGUUCUGCAUCAGGAGGGACGCAACCAAUAAGUUGGAAUAUGCGAAUGAAUAUUGUUGUUGAUGUUGCUAGAGGAGUAUCAUUCCUACACAGUUGUAGAAUGAUGGAAACAGAAACAUUAAGCAGAGACAUUAAAUAAGGAUGGUGGAAUGUUGUUCUAGACAUUGAUUGAUUGAACCAAAACUUGUGUGCAUGUAUGUAUUGUGUAUAUUAAUUUUGUUGUGUAAACAGUUGAUAUGGAUGACAAACAAUGUAGCAAGCUUGGCAUAUUUUUUGUUCUUAUUGUAUUUUUGGUAUUUUUAUCACCAUAUGUUUACGUUUUGUUUUGAUACAACAUAUA